Molecule: long non-coding RNA, 1971 nt
Filed under: Salmo salar (Atlantic salmon)
Lineage: Eukaryota; Metazoa; Chordata; Actinopteri; Salmoniformes; Salmonidae
Description: lncRNA (ENSSSAG00000090163.1)
Source: RNAcentral
GCCAGUCUUGGUCGCUGAUCCUCCAUGACUUUCUGCCAUAGCCUCAAUCUCUCUAUCUCUUGCUUCAUUUUAAAAGGUGAAAUUAGUGAUAAUCUAUGACCAAGACAUACUUUCAAAGGAUUUGCAGAGAAUGAUACAUAGAAAUACAACCUAGACCUAGGUAAUUGAAUCAAACACUGGACAACAUCAAUAGCAGGGUUAUUUUGAUCAAUUCAUCUGGACAAUUCAUUGUCAAUUAAUGUAUUGACAUGUUUGAAAGAAUUAUGAGACAUUUUAUGGACAAAUACAAACACACAACUAGCUUGCCCAUUCAGUUAGGGGUUUGAGAAAUUCCCGUUGCAAUUUGUGUGAUGUUACAACAAUGUUACCUCUGAUGUUUAUGCUUGUAGAAAUUACUCCUACAAAUGAUGUUUCACUAAUGCAAUUAUUUACAACCUGCACACAUACAGUUAUCAACAACAACAACAGUAAUGAUGUUAAUAAGGAAGUGGAUAUUCAACCGGCAGAAGAAAGGCAUAGGGGUUGAGAUAAAUGAAGGUUAGGUUCAGGACCUAGGGUUGGGUUAAGGUAAAGGUUAGGUAUAGUUUCACUGAGGUUAAGGUAAGGUUUAAGGAAAGGCAUAAAAGUUAACAUUGGGUUAGCGUACCGCUGUCCGCCACGAUUCAUUUUCAGCUGGGUAAAUAUACACUGCCUUUUAAUAAUAACAAUGACAUGUCUUACGUGGGCCAGUUGUAGAUCCACCAUCAGUAGCUCCAGCAGAUGUUUGAGGCUCUUGAUCUCCUGAAUUUUUCUGUUGUUCUCCUUCGCUUCUGUGACUCUCUGUGCCUCCCUCUGUCUCUCUGCCUCCCUCUGUCUCUCUGCCUCUCUCUGUCUCUCUGCCUCCCUCUGUCUCUCUGCCUCUCUCUGCCUCUCUGCUUCUCUUUGUCUCUCUGCCUCCCUCUGUCUCUCUGCCUCCCUCUGUCUCUCUGCCUCUCUCUGUCUCUCUGCUUCUCUUUGUCUCUCUGCCUCCCUCUGUCUCUCUGCCUCUCUCUGGCUCUCUGCUUCUCUCUGUCUCAGGAUUUCAACCUUCCACUCUUUCAUUAGACCCCUUUCUACUCUUCUUCUCCUCCUUACCUCUUCUAAAAGGGAUCUGAGAUGGUCUGUCUCAGACUGUAAUUGUUCAAUGAUCUUGUCCUUCUCCGUUCCACCAUUCCUCUUCUUCUUUUCCUCCUCCCAGAGGCACACUUGAAGUCUGUCCAUCUCCUUCUUCUGAUUUCGGAUCGUUCGAUCCUUCCCCCUCAACUCAAGCAUGUGGGCUUCCUUCUCUGUACAGGUCUUCUUCUCUUCUCUCAGGAACUGAACCUCCAUCUCUGCCUGCUUGUAGCUGGGAGCAAAGGAAUGUCCACACAUUAUUUAGGAAGUGAACUCAGACAAUUUAUUACAGUGUUAAAAUAAUAACUAAACCUCUGCGCAAUUAAACUGUCUUUAAUAACACAACUCACACAACUGUGACUUACAGUACGUGAAUGUAAUGAGUUGACUGUCCAUGAUGGCCAGAGCUAGGUUAUGUGAUGAAUGACUUACAGACUGUUCCACAUGAUAGGAGGGGGUAAGAAGCAAGUCCCAGUAGGAGACGGAGAUCGUCCAGAAGAAGAAGAGGUGUCCAUCUCCUCAGAGACUGUAGUAAAGGUCUACAAGUUUUAUUUCUGGAAAAUAAAGAGAUGCCUUCGUUCAGCAACAAUGUGUGUUUCUAUGUUUCUGUCACUAGAUGGGGCCAUUGUACACAACAUUUACUCACCAGGUCAGUUAAUUCAGAAAUAGUCUACACACUACAGUACUCAAGCUCUAGCCUACAACCCAUCAUGCAUCAGCACAAGUAAUAUAAUACUACCUCAUCACAAUUUCAUAAUCACAGUACACCUGGAUUGUGUUCACAAAGUGUUUCAGGGUAGGAGUGCUGAUCUAGGAUCAGAUCCCCCCGUCCAUCAAAAC